UCGGAUAGAUAAAGUCACAUCUCAUAAUAUGACACAUUUGUCUUCACAUAUAUCCAGUAUUCUUCAUCUAAACCUUACCUCAGUUUGUAAUGGGCCUUUUUAUGCCCUUACAGUUUGAGUGGCUGAAGUCCAGUCAAGAACUAACUAGUUUCCCAUGCACCACAAGCUUAGGCUUAAUAAUUUGCACGCUGAGUGCAUUUGCUAUCACUAGAGAAAUUAUUUGUUUAUGUAUUCCCAGGGCAGUUUUUAGAGCUUUGAUGAUAAUAUCUAUUGUUCCUGAAUCUUAAUGUUGUGGGCCAUGCGGUAAGAACUCCUUGACAUCUAUCAGAAUGUAUUGGCCGAGGAGAGAUUCAAACGAAUUAUUGAUACAUUAUCAAAUUCUGAUUCCACAUAUUCUGUUCUCUGCUGUUAGUCAUAUGGAUUUGGAUUCUGGGUUCCUAUCACUAGAGAACUUCAAAGCUGCCCUUUCAAGUAUCCAAAGGCAGCCAAAGGUGGAAUGUUUAAAAGGUUAAUGCUGUUGCCCCAGGGUUCAUUGCAUCUGAUAUGACUGCUAAGCUUGGGGGAGACAUUGAGAAGAAAAUCUUGGAAACCAUCCCCUUGAAACUCAUUUUGAAUCAUUUAACAUGAAUCGAAUUGUGAAUCAUGCGAUUCACUAUCGAUUCUGUCUCAAAAUAGAUUCACAUCGAUCUAUGCAUGAAUCAUGAAUUGAAUCGUGAAUCAAAUCACGAAUUGUAAGAUAUUGAUAUGAUAGGUACUAUUUUCAACCACCAUUUUACCUCUUAAUUAAUGGGAACAGUAGGCCGUUAUUGCUGUUAGAGAUAGACUUUUGUUUUGUGGAAGUUUAGUUUUUUAGUGGAUCUAGAGUUGACUACGAUGCUCCUGGACACUCAUGUACUACUAUGUUUUACAGUGCCGAUGGAAGUAGGUAAGGUUAUUGAAAUUAAAGAUAUCAAACAUGAUGUAGAUUGUUCUCUUGUGGAACGGGUAAAGAUGGGGAUUCUUUCCUUGUUGAAUGGAAUGAAAGUGAAGGAGCAAUAAAGAGGACAUACUCUGGGUUCAGAAAGAAAUCUGUUGGUGUUGUGCAGUUUGACACUACUCAAAACCACUUUUUGGCCGUGGGUGAAGAUCACCAAAUAAAGUUUUGGAACAUGGACAAUAACGACAUUCUCACUAGUAUGGAUGCAGAGUG
This is a non-coding RNA of Camellia sinensis, 1189 nucleotides long. NCBI's taxonomy places the organism in Eukaryota, Viridiplantae, Streptophyta, Magnoliopsida, Ericales, Theaceae. The record is from RefSeq and is a predicted model, not a curated record.